UGGGGAAUCGUCCAACGGUAGGACAGUAGCCUCUGGAGCUACCGAUGAUGGUUCGAAUCCAUCUUCCUCAGCCA
This 74-nucleotide transfer RNA is filed under the name Coprothermobacter sp. Its description in RNAcentral is "tRNA-Gln". It matches the Rfam family "tRNA". Rfam says of the family: Transfer RNA (tRNA) molecules are approximately 80 nucleotides in length. Their secondary structure includes four short double-helical elements and three loops (D, anti-codon, and T loops). The record is from RNAcentral. RNAcentral also lists the same sequence under 11 other names. Lineage: Bacteria; Pseudomonadati; Coprothermobacterota; Coprothermobacteria; Coprothermobacterales; Coprothermobacteraceae.